This 509-nucleotide ribosomal RNA is filed under the name uncultured bacterium. RNAcentral describes it as "partial 16S ribosomal RNA". It matches the Rfam family "Bacterial small subunit ribosomal RNA", at positions 28 to 507 of the family's 1533-position model. The record is from RNAcentral.
GACGAACGCUGGCGGCGUGCUUAACACAUGCAAGUCGAACGAAGAGCGAUGGAAGCUUGCUUCUAUCAAUCUUAGUGGCGAACGGGUGAGUAACGCGUAAUCAACCUGCCCUUCAGAGGGGGACAACAGUUGGAAACGACUGCUAAUACCGCAUACGAUCUAAACUCGGCAUCGAGGAUAGAUGAAAGGUGGCCUCUACAUUUAAGCUAUCACUGAAGGAGGGGAUUGCGUCUGAUUAGUUAGUUGGGGGGGUAACGGCCAACCAGGACGAUGAUCGGUAGCGGGCCGGGGAGAUGGACGGGCAAAAUGGGACUGGAACAAGGGCCAGACUCCUACGGGAAGGAGCAGGGGGGAAACUUCCGCAAUGGACGGAAGGCUGACGGAGGAAAGGCGCGGGGGUGAUGGCGGGCUUCGGGUUGUUAAGCUCUGUUAAUCGGGACGAAAGGCCUUCUUGCGAAUAGUGAGAAGGAUUGACGGUACCGGAAGAGAAAGCCACGGCUAACUACGUG